Molecule: ribosomal RNA, 305 nt
Filed under: uncultured bacterium
Lineage: Bacteria
Description: bacterial SSU rRNA
Rfam family: Bacterial small subunit ribosomal RNA
Source: RNAcentral
CCUUCCUACGGGACGCAGCAGUGGGGAAUAUUGGGCAAUGGGCGCAAGCCUGACCCAGCAACGCCGCGUGAAGGAAGAAGGCUUUCGGGUUGUAAACUUCUUUUAAGAGGGAAGAGCAGAAGACGGUACCUCUUGAAUAAGCCACGGCUAACUACGUGCCAGCAGCCGCGGUAAUACGUAGGUGGCAUGCGUUGUCCGGAUUUACUGGGUGUAAAGGGCGUGCAGCCGGGAAGACAAGUCAGAUGUGAAGUCCCGCGGCUCAACCGCGGAACUGCAUUUGAAACUGUUUUUCUUUGGUACCGGAG